GUUGCCCAUUCAAGACCGAGUCAUUCUGAAAGACUUUACAACAGAGGUUACAAAAUCUCAACAACAUACUGCUGCUGAGAAAAUCCAUUUUUCUUCCAGCUCCUGUGAAGAUUGUAGGUUAAGCUCAGAAGGGACUGAGAAGUCUGGGCACGACAGUAGACAUAGAGGAUGUUACUGUAUCUGCUAAAGAAAACUGGGACAGGACUUAUAUACUGCCCCAUUAGUGCACAUAACUCUUUCGACACAUAGCGCAAGCAGUAUCUUCUCCCAUCCACUCUGCUUUGGAGCAUGGACAUCAACCUUCAAUAAAGGAGGAGAAAAAGGAAUAUGGUAUCCACCAAAAGGCAGGCAGAUGAUGGCAUUCCUUCAAGACAUAACUCUAACAUGCUCUUUUGCAACUACUCAUCCUCCUUAGGUCAUCUGCAUAUGAUAUACAAGCUGCAACAGCAUCUAAAAAUAGCAAAGUUCCAUUUAUUAUUUCCUUUUAUUUUGGUUGUUCUACUUUUUCCUCUACAGUAGAUAUUAUCUGCCAGUAUGUUUGAUGACUGAGAACUGUAUAUUUUGCCAGAAAUAAAUAAACAGGAUGUCUGAUAAUCCACAGUGUCCCUUCCAGCUCUGCAGUUCUAAAAUUCUAAGGGGGGGGGGGAAUGCAUAUAGAUGCAAAUAGACACCCAAUCUUCAUCUCUAGUUGCAUUUGAGCCAGCUGAAAAUCUCCACCUUGUUAUUUUAUGAGCCUACAGAAAUUCAUGAACAACCCAUAGGCAUCCACACAGAGUAAGCCAACAGUCUAGUAAAGUGGUCGGGAAACGGGUGAUUUACCCCAAAUGGGGUAAAAAUGAAAAUCCUGGGGUUAGUGAGGGUGUGCGCUGAGGCACUUCCUGGCUGCCCUGCUCUCGUGCACCACAUGCUCCUCUCUCCCCAGCCUGGCUGGCGGCGGCAGCGGCUGCAUGGCUGCUAGCCCGAUGCUCGCCUCACCUCUCCCGCCCUUUUUAGGAGCCGAGGCCACCUUGGGAUGCAAGUGGGUGGGAAGCAGACUAAAGACCGAGGCACA
Molecule: non-coding RNA, 1051 nt
Organism: Pogona vitticeps (central bearded dragon)
Lineage: Eukaryota; Metazoa; Chordata; Lepidosauria; Squamata; Agamidae
Source: RefSeq, a predicted model, not a curated record